Micropterus salmoides (largemouth bass) is the source of this 357-nucleotide long non-coding RNA. RefSeq lists it as uncharacterized. NCBI's taxonomy places the organism in Eukaryota, Metazoa, Chordata, Actinopteri, Centrarchiformes, Centrarchidae. The transcript has 2 exons. The record is from RefSeq and is a predicted model, not a curated record.
GCAGUUCUCCUCCCCGACCCCUUGUGUUUAUGUUCUCAUCCCUCCCUGUGUCUCCUGUUAGUCUGUCUGUCUCUCUGUGUUGUCUGGGCGUGGCUUCUCACUCUGGGCCUGGCGCUCCACCUCCACCUGCACACCUGAUCCACAUUCCACUAAUCAAGACUCUGCAGUAUAUCAACCCGUUUCUUCACCUCACCUCAGUGGAUCACUGCCUGCCUGGAGAUUUUGCCCCUGCCUCACUCAGCUCACUGCCCGCCUGGAAAUCCACUCGCUGGUCUCCAUUCCCUGGUCUGCCCGCUGGUCUGCUCCGCUCUCACAACCCGUUUUUCAAUAAACUUUAAGUUCCUGGAUUUAAACCUG